This is a long non-coding RNA of Eriocheir sinensis (Chinese mitten crab), 1103 nucleotides long. RefSeq lists it as uncharacterized. The transcript is spliced from 5 exons. The record is from RefSeq and is a predicted model, not a curated record. NCBI's taxonomy places the organism in Eukaryota, Metazoa, Arthropoda, Malacostraca, Decapoda, Varunidae.
UAAUACAUAACCGCUAACCAUCCCUCAAAAAUCACUCUAGGCCUAUUUUCUCCCCUAAUCCGUCAUCCCCAGCUCAUUCAUAGGCCUACUUUCCCCACCCUAGAUAACCCUGCUAGGUGGCCUAUAUCUCUGUAAUCCCUGCACUGAGGCGCCUGGGAUUGAUAGGGGAUUUACAUGUAGACUUAAUCAUUGGAAUCCAUGUGCUAAGGUGGGCGAAGCAACGCAUACCCUGGAGUACGUCGCCCAUUGACAGCUAGCGGUGGUGACACGGGAGAAUUGGCAACGCUGCAGCCGCCCGGUGGAGCAACGUGGUAACGCUGCUCCUAUCCUACCUCAAGCAUGGCCGCCUCAGCUGUCACCUUCCCGGCAAAGUCUUCAUAUUUUCCGCCAUUUCCCUGCAGGUGACAAUGGGGGUGCUGAAGAUGCUGAGUUAUGCCCUGAAAUGAUGACUGCUGUGUGCGCUGACCCUCCCUCGACACAGCAUGGCCCUCGCUGCGUCAAUUCUGUACCUUGCUGACCAUCUCGACCAUCAACAUGACCGCCAAGGUGCUGUUUCAAGUACCAAAGCUGCCCUGCGUCUGUCUGCUACCUGGCCUUCUAUAUCUAAAGCACACAGCUCCAUCACUGGGGGCAGAAGACUUGCUGUGGACCAGACCUUCGGACUUCAGCACAGCGAGGGGGGACUCUGCUGUGAGCUCAAGACUUGCUCGGGGCAAGCUCUCGGCAUAUCUGGACCAGCUCAGCAUUCAGCAUAGCAAGGAGGGACUCCACCGUGGACUUCCAUAGGACAAGAUCUCGGUAUAUGCAGACGUCAGCAUCCAGCCAGACCUUGCUGGGGACGCCUACCGCCGCCGAAUGAUACACAGAUGACUAACUGGAUGAAGCAAUUACCUGUCUGCUGGAUGCUGGAGGAGGUCAGGUCACCCACAGAACACUCUCAGAUGCAGGGAAGAGGUCAGGUCACCCACAGAACACUCUCGGAUGCAGGGAAGAGGCCACGUCAUCCACAGAACACUCUUGGAUGCUGGGAAGAGGCCACGUCAUCCACAGAACACUCUUGGAUGCUGGGAAGAGGUCACGUCAUCCACAGAACACUCUUGGAU